This is a long non-coding RNA of Coturnix japonica (Japanese quail), 1036 nucleotides long. The record is from Ensembl. Lineage: Eukaryota; Metazoa; Chordata; Aves; Galliformes; Phasianidae.
ACUUGUCUUCGGAUGCCACCAAGUCCUUCAUUGCCUCCAGAGGUGGACUUGCGGUUUUCAUUUUGGCCAGAGGUGUCAGUGAUUGUCUGCUCCCAUGAUGACUCGCGUCCAGCCUUGUUGGCUCUGUUGUUUGUGAAGGGCUUAUUUCCCUUCCUGGAGAGCUUCUCGCUUCCCUUUCUGAUCUUGGAACAGAGGGCCUUGCUGGCUGCUUUGAGCUUGGCCCAGGCACGCUGAAUGCAGCGGCACAGAAAGCGUGGCACACAGCAGCCUGUACACAGCUGAGAUGGAGUCUGUGACCUUUGUGUCCUGCUUGAUGCAACUGCAGAUCUACUUCCCUCUGGCUCUUGAGCAGCAGGGUCAGAUGGAGACACACCCUUGGAUCCUUCAUUGCUAGGCAGGACGCGGUGUGGUGUGAAAUAGUUUUGCUUGUUCUUCUCAAUGUGUUCAUACUGCUCCAGCCACAGAUGCAUCAACCUGUUCGCCUGGUUGUCAGGGUGUUCACAGAGUCUGUAGCACUCAGCAUGGACUGUACGCAUUGUUUCUUGUUUGCGUAUGUCCAUCAGGGAGGCAGAUUUUCGCCACUGACCAAAGGCCUGUGCUGAUGACCUCCAUUCCUGAGCCUGCAUGUGCCUGCGCUGGAAGGGCAAGCGAGGGUACCUCCUUGUUUGCCACAGUGGAUGUGGAAGCUUGGAGUCUUUGUGCCCCAGAUUAGGCUCUGAGAGGCUCUUCUGCAGGUGCACUGGUGCCUGCAUUUUCAUGUCAGCACGCUCCAGGAGACUUCUCAUAGCCUCAUCCACCAAGGACAGGUCCCGCUCCUGGGACUUUGGUUGUGGGCAAGGUGUCUUCAUAUCCUCGCAACAGGUGAUGGUGCCCUCAUUGCUGCCCCACUCAUUGCUGCCCUCAUUGCUGCCCUCUUUGCUGCCCUCAUUGCUGCCCUCAUUGCUGCCCUCAGGCAUUUGCAACAUGAGCCUGUGUGAGAUGGAGAAAGAGAAGGAAGAUGAAGGCAGUUCUGAGCCAAACACUCCUGAGGGCCCCA